Molecule: long non-coding RNA, 2050 nt
Organism: Lolium rigidum
Lineage: Eukaryota; Viridiplantae; Streptophyta; Magnoliopsida; Poales; Poaceae
Exons: 3
Source: RefSeq, a predicted model, not a curated record
UUCUCCGUUCUCCUUUUCUGUGUUAUUAGUGGAGGGGUAAUCAUGGAUGGCGGUGGCUCACCCACGGCGGAGCGGAGGGCCUGGGUUCUCCGGCGACGGGGGUUGAAUCGGUGAAGGCCAGUGGAGCGAGGAGCCGGGAAGGUUCCAUUCGUCCUCCUCCUCGUGCUUUUUGUCGCUAUCUGGGUGCGAGAGGCAUGGCUUUACGUGGAGGUCAUGGAGCUGGGUUCCUCCAUGCGGAAGCUUCCAGCGAGCUGGCAGGCAUAUUCCUAAAAUAAAUGGAGAGAUUCCUUCUAUUGACGAAGCCUUCUUGGAUCACCGCAGACUACUUGACAGACAAUCAACCCUGCAGUUUUAUAUCCAUCUAGAUUACUUUUCAAACUUCUACAACCUGAAGCUAAUUAUAUGAUCCUUUGAUUAUUUUUCUUUUAAAAGGUUAAGUGUCUCUCAGUUUCUUAUUUUCUCUCUGUCCUCCUCAAUGUACAAUGUUCAUUUCUCAGUCUUUUCAUUUGAUCAUUCCUUCUCUUUCUUCAUUAUUCAGUGAUAGUGAUCAAUGCUCAUUGGCUCUUGGUCUCUUAGUUUCUAUGCUAAUGUGUUACCAGUCCUCAUUAUUUAGUUCGCACACCUCAUUCUGCUUACAUAUCUUCAUUCCUUAUCUAUGUUCAGUCCUAAUUUUAUCUCUUCCUUUUUCUUUGUCUUAUUUACUCAUUUUAAUUUCUUCAGUGUUUAUUUUAGCUCAAAUUCUCAGUAUUUAUUCUUAAUUUCUACAGUUUAUCUUAAUUUUUUUAGUUUCUCUAUGUCCUAAAUCUUAUCAUUACUCGGUCGCUCUUUCUUGAGUAGUUCAUUCUUUGUCACUCUUUCUCGAGAUUCUCUGUCACUCUUUCUUCAGUCUUAAUAUUUGUUAUUAAUUUCUUCAGUUUCUCUUCAUUAUUUCAUCAUUAUUUCAUCAUUAUUUUAGUCUUAUCAUUCUUUGCCUCUAUCACUUGUUAUCAGUUCUUAUUUCUCUAUUUCUUCAGUAAUUGCCACUCUUUCUUGUUAUUGGUACUUAUUUUACUCUUUCUUCAGUAUUUCUGUAUUUUCUUCAGUUUAUUUUCUCAGUUAUUCUUCAGCCUUCAGUAUCUCGUUGUGUAGCUUCAUUUGCGAGUCAUUUCAGUUUAUUUUUAUUUUUCUCAGUUAUUCUUUAACUCUUUGUCUUGUUUGUUUGUCUCUUUCUUCGGUAUUAGUACUUCAUUCUCUAUGUCUCUUUCUAUUUCUAAGUUUUUAUCUCACUCGUUGUAUUAGUACUUCAAUGUGCCUCUUUCUUCAUUUAUCUCAGUUUCUCUCAUUCUUAAUUAUUUUCGUGGUUUUAGUAUUUCAGUGUGUUUCUUCAGUCUUGAUUUUAGUUCUUUGGUUCAGUCUGUAAGCGACAUUUUAUCUAUUCCUUGGUACUUCUUUCUUCAGUCCUGAUUUUAGUUCUUUGGUUCACUGUCUUUCUUCAGUAUUGAUUUUAGUUAUUCUUUGGUUCAGUCCAAGCAACAAUUUAUCUAGUCUUAGUUCAGUUUUAAUCAUCAGUUUUAUCAUUCUUCAGUCUUAAUCUUUAUUCUCCAGUCUUCUUGUUUUAUUUUUAGUUUAGCCGGUGGUUAUGCUAGGGUGGAGCAAGUUGAGUGGAGCAGCGGGUGUAUCGCGCUACUCCAUCCCAGCAGUCAUCGAUGUGCUGCUCAUCUUCAUCGAUGGUUCAACGGCGGCGACUUUCUUCUCAAGACCACCCGCUGCUGCUCCUCCCCAAGAACAGAACGACUUGAAUCUCCCAAUUAUUCUGUUGUUAUUUCCUUGGUGAUCCUGAAAUUCGUGUGAAGUAGUAUUGUGUGAUGUGAAUUUGUUUAGUUAUGAGACUUAUGCUUGUUUCCAUAUUGUUUUUUGAGAAUUAGACCGUGGCCUUACCAAUUUGCUUAUAUCAGUCAGUGAAUGUUUUUCUAGUGUUGUCCUUUAUCAUUUAUUAAUCUCUGUAUAUUUUUUCUUUGUGUGGGAUGAUCUUGUAUUGCCUUUAGUGGAAAAAAUUGCUCUAUUUUUCUCA